This 1087-nucleotide ribosomal RNA is filed under the name Kosakonia cowanii. RNAcentral describes it as "bacterial SSU rRNA". It matches the Rfam family "Bacterial small subunit ribosomal RNA", at positions 76 to 1157 of the family's 1533-position model. Lineage: Bacteria; Pseudomonadati; Pseudomonadota; Gammaproteobacteria; Enterobacterales; Enterobacteriaceae. The record is from RNAcentral.
CAGCUUGCUGCUUCGCUGACGAGUGGCGGACGGGUGAGUAAUGUCUGGGAAACUGCCUGAUGGAGGGGGAUAACUACUGGAAACGGUAGCUAAUACCGCAUAACGUCGCAAGACCAAAGAGGGGGACCUUCGGGCCUCUUGCCAUCAGAUGUGCCCAGAUGGGAUUAGCUAGUAGGUGGGGUAACGGCUCACCUAGGCGACGAUCCCUAGCUGGUCUGAGAGGAUGACCAGCCACACUGGAACUGAGACACGGUCCAGACUCCUACGGGAGGCAGCAGUGGGGAAUAUUGCACAAUGGGCGCAAGCCUGAUGCAGCCAUGCCGCGUGUAUGAAGAAGGCCUUCGGGUUGUAAAGUACUUUCAGCGGGGAGGAAGGCGAUGCGGUUAAUAACCGCGUCGAUUGACGUUACCCGCAGAAGAAGCACCGGCUAACUCCGUGCCAGCAGCCGCGGUAAUACGGAGGGUGCAAGCGUUAAUCGGAAUUACUGGGCGUAAAGCGCACGCAGGCGGUCUGUCAAGUCGGAUGUGAAAUCCCCGGGCUCAACCUGGGAACUGCAUCCGAAACUGGCAGGCUUGAGUCUCGUAGAGGGGGGUAGAAUUCCAGGUGUAGCGGUGAAAUGCGUAGAGAUCUGGAGGAAUACCGGUGGCGAAGGCGGCCCCCUGGACGAAGACUGACGCUCAGGUGCGAAAGCGUGGGGAGCAAACAGGAUUAGAUACCCUGGUAGUCCACGCCGUAAACGAUGUCGACUUGGAGGUUGUGCCCUUGAGGCGUGGCUUCCGGAGCUAACGCGUUAAGUCGACCGCCUGGGGAGUACGGCCGCAAGGUUAAAACUCAAAUGAAUUGACGGGGGCCCGCACAAGCGGUGGAGCAUGUGGUUUAAUUCGAUGCAACGCGAAGAACCUUACCUGGUCUUGACAUCCACAGAACUUUCCAGAGAUGGAUUGGUGCCUUCGGGAACUGUGAGACAGGUGCUGCAUGGCUGUCGUCAGCUCGUGUUGUGAAAUGUUGGGUUAAGUCCCGCAACGAGCGCAACCCUUAUCCUUUGUUGCCAGCGGUUAGGCCGGGAACUCAAAGGAGACUGCCAGUG